UACGAGUGGUGCAAGCGUUAUUCGGAUUUAUUGGGCGUAAAGGGUGCGUAAACGGUGUGAUAAGUCUGUUGUUAAAUCCCUCGGCCCAACCGAGGAUAUGCAGUGGAAACUAUCAUGCUAGAGGAUGGAAGAGAGAAGUGGAAUUCUUGGAGUAGCGGUAAAAUGCGUAGAUCUCAAGAGGAACACCAAUGGCGAAGGCAGCUUCUUGGUCCACUCCUGACGUUGAGGCACGAAAGCGUGGGGAGCAAACAGG
RNAcentral lists this ribosomal RNA (253 nucleotides) under uncultured bacterium. RNAcentral's name for it is "partial 16S ribosomal RNA". It matches the Rfam family "Bacterial small subunit ribosomal RNA", at positions 524 to 776 of the family's 1533-position model. The record is from RNAcentral.